AGCGAACGCUGGCGGCAGGCUUAACACAUGCCAGUCGAGCGGGCAUCUUCGGAUGUCAGCGGCAGACGGGUGAGUAACACGUGGGAACGUACCCUUCGGUUCGGAACAACUCUGGGAAACUGGAGCUAAUACCGGAUACGCCCUUAUGGGGAAAGGUUUACUGCCGAAGGAUCGGCCCGCGUCUGAUUAGCUAGUUGGUGGGGUAACGGCCUACCAAGGCGACGAUCAGUAGCUGGUCUGAGAGGAUGAUCAGCCACACUGGGACUGAGACACGGCCCAGACUCCUACGGGAGGCAGCAGUGGGGAAUAUUGGACAAUGGGCGCAAGCCUGAUCCAGCCAUGCCGCGUGAGUGAUGAAGGCCUUAGGGUUGUAAAGCUCUUUUGUCCGGGACGAUAAUGACGGUACCGGAAGAAUAAGCCCCGGCUAACUUCGUG
Molecule: ribosomal RNA, 435 nt
Filed under: uncultured bacterium
Lineage: Bacteria
Description: partial 16S ribosomal RNA
Rfam family: Bacterial small subunit ribosomal RNA
Source: RNAcentral